CCAGACUCCUACGGGAGGCAGCAGUGGGGGAUAUUGGACAAUAGGGGAAACCCUGAUCCAGCGACGCCGCGUGAGUGAAGAAGUAUUUCGGUAUGUAAAGCUCUGUCAGCAGGGAAGAAAGAAAUGACGGUACCUGACUAAGAAGCCCCGGCUAACUACGUGCCAGCAGCCGCGGUAAUACGUAGGGGGCAAGCGUUAUCCGGAUUUACUGGGUGUAAAGGGAGCGUAGACGGCAGCACAAGUCUGGAGUGAAAUCCCGGGGCUUAACCCCGGAACUGCUUUGGAAACUGUGCGGCUGGAGUGCAGGAGGGGUAAGCGGAAUUCCUAGUGUAGCGGUGAAAUGCGUAGAUAUUAGGAGGAACACCAGUGGCGAAGGCGACUUUCUGGACUGUACCUGACGCUGAGGCGCGAAAGCGUGGGUAGCGAACGGGAUUAGAUACCCCUGUAUG
This 449-nucleotide ribosomal RNA is filed under the name uncultured bacterium. RNAcentral's name for it is "bacterial SSU rRNA". It matches the Rfam family "Bacterial small subunit ribosomal RNA", at positions 331 to 793 of the family's 1533-position model. The record is from RNAcentral.